GUAGUCCACACCCUAAACGAUGGAUACUAGGCGUGAGAGGUAUCGACCCCUCUCGUGCCGCAGCUAACGCACUAAGUAUCCCGCCUGGGGAGUACGGCCGCAAGGUUGAAACUCAAAUGAAUUGACGGGGACCCGCACAAGCGGUGGAGCAUGUGGAUUAAUUCGAUACUAACCGAAGAACCUUACCCAGGUUUGACAUCGAUCGAAAGCUCUAGAGAUAGGGCCUUCCUCCCAAAAGGAGGACGUGAAGACACUUGUUGCAUGGCUGUCGUCAGCUCGUGCCGUGAGGUGUACGGUUAAGUCCGCCAACGAGCGCAACCCACGUCCUGUGUUACCAGCAUGAAAGAUGGGGACUCACAGGAGACCGCCGGUGUAAACCGGAGGAAGGUGUGGAUGACGUCAAGUCAGCAUGGCAGUUACGCCUGGGGCUUCACACAUGCUACAAUGGGCGAAACAAAGGGCAGCAAUACCGUGAGGUGGAGCAAAUCCCAAAAAUACGCCCCCAGUUCAGAUUGCAGUCUGCAACUCGACUGCAUGAAGGCGGAAUCGCUAGUAAACGCAGGUCAGCUAUACUGCGUUGAAUA
RNAcentral lists this ribosomal RNA (584 nucleotides) under uncultured bacterium. Its description in RNAcentral is "bacterial SSU rRNA". It matches the Rfam family "Bacterial small subunit ribosomal RNA", at positions 790 to 1368 of the family's 1533-position model. The record is from RNAcentral.